CUCUUAUCCUUCUUUAUUUCCUUCUCCGUCCCAGUUUCUGGAUUAAAUGUUUCUGCUCUGUUCCCAUCCCUCCAGGAUGCAGGAAAGGGAAUUUGAUCAAUCAGUAACCAAGAGUAGAAAACUAAAUGCUUGCAGAAGCCAAAGGAAAAAAGCCAAGUUGGCUGGGUAGGGACAAAGACACCAUUUGCUGGUUAAAGGGACAGCUGCUUCCUUGCUCAGCCUCCUGAGUGCUGGGAUAAGAAGUGUGCACCAUCAUGCCCUACUGGGAUUUGAACUUUUGAUCUUCCUGCUUCAGCCUUGGAAGUGCUGGGAUUACAGGCAUGUGCCAUCAUGUCUGGCUGAUGUUCUGUUUCUUGAUCUGGAUGCUGGUAAUGCAGGAAGAAAGAAGAUGCAGUGGUCAAGUGACUUGUCCAAGAUCACCCAGCUGGUCAGCAGAAUCCCUACAUCAUGAAUUAAGACCUUGGAGCCUAACCCCACAUCGCUGAAGUUUUACUCCAUGUUUCUGAGAACCUUAGAGUUUUGAAGACGUGCUCCAGUGGUUCUGCAAAUGUUUAUCUGACUUAUUUUUUUUUAAAGUUAGCAAUUCUUGUUUUGUUUUUUGAGACAGGGUCUCACUAUGUAGCUCAGGCUGACCUUGAACUCACUGUGCAGCCCAGGUUGGCCUUGAACUCAAAGGUGAUCCUCCUGCCUCAGUCUCUGGAAUGUUGGAAUUAUAGGCAUGC
Molecule: long non-coding RNA, 722 nt
Organism: Heterocephalus glaber (naked mole-rat)
Lineage: Eukaryota; Metazoa; Chordata; Mammalia; Rodentia; Bathyergidae
Source: Ensembl